This 727-nucleotide ribosomal RNA is filed under the name uncultured bacterium. RNAcentral describes it as "bacterial SSU rRNA". It matches the Rfam family "Bacterial small subunit ribosomal RNA", at positions 61 to 748 of the family's 1533-position model. The record is from RNAcentral.
GUCGAGCGAGCUUGCCUAGAUGAAUUUGGUGCUUGCACCAGAUGAAACUAGAUACAAGCGAGCGGCGGACGGGUGAGUAACACGUGGGUAACCUGCCCAAGAGACUGGGAUAACACCUGGAAACAGAUGCUAAUACCGGAUAACAACACUAGACGCAUGUCUAGAGUUUAAAAGAUGGUUCUGCUAUCACUCUUGGAUGGACCUGCGGUGCAUUAGCUAGUUGGUAAGGUAACGGCUUACCAAGGCAAUGAUGCAUAGCCGAGUUGAGAGACUGAUCGGCCACAUUGGGACUGAGACACGGCCCAAACUCCUACGGGAGGCAGCAGUAGGGAAUCUUCCACAAUGGACGCAAGUCUGAUGGAGCAACGCCGCGUGAGUGAAGAAGGGUUUCGGCUCGUAAAGCUCUGUUGGUAGUGAAGAAAGAUAGAGGUAGUAACUGGCCUUUAUUUGACGGUAAUUACUUAGAAAGUCACGGCUAACUACGUGCCAGCAGCCGCGGUAAUACGUAGGUGGCAAGCGUUGUCCGGAUUUAUUGGGCGUAAAGCGAGUGCAGGCGGUUCAAUAAGUCUGAUGUGAAAGCCUUCGGCUCAACCGGAGAAUUGCAUCAGAAACUGUUGAACUUGAGUGCAGAAGAGGAGAGUGGAACUCCAUGUGUAGCGGUGGAAUGCGUAUAUAUAUGGAAGAACACCAGUGGCGAAGGCGGCUCUCUGGUCUGCAACUGACGCUG